AUAAGACAAGGGUCAAACAGACAGACGGACGGUAUUGUUUCCCUGCUCUUCCCCCAAACUUCGGCCGUUAAAAGCGGACCGGAAUAAGGGGGUUUUGUGGAUUUCUUUUGUUCCCGUCUGGCUCUCGCGGAUCCCGGGGAUAAAGGCUUGUUUGGACAUUUUCGGUUUCUCUUGUGGUGUCUGCCUUUGUGACGAGGCUUCGCUCAUCUUUUUCAGCACUGAGAACUUGGAAGUGGAACAAAGCCAGACUGGGAAGGGGUGA
RNAcentral lists this long non-coding RNA (262 nucleotides) under Sphaeramia orbicularis (orbiculate cardinalfish). RNAcentral's name for it is "lncRNA (ENSSORG00005013309.1)". Lineage: Eukaryota; Metazoa; Chordata; Actinopteri; Kurtiformes; Apogonidae. The record is from RNAcentral.